Molecule: ribosomal RNA, 328 nt
Filed under: uncultured eukaryote
Lineage: Eukaryota
Description: partial 18S ribosomal RNA
Rfam family: Eukaryotic small subunit ribosomal RNA
Source: RNAcentral
CCCUUAGAUGUUCUGGGCCGCACGCGCGCUACACUGACGAAUGCAACGAGCUUAUAACCUUGGCCGAAAGGUCUGGGUAAUCUCCAAAUUUCGUCGUGAUGGGGAUAGAUUAUUGCAAUUAUUAAUCUUCAACGAGGAAUGCCUAGUAAACGCAAGUCAUCAGCUUGCAUUGAUUACGUCCCUGCCCUUUGUACACACCGCCCGUCGCACCUACCGAUUGAAUGGUCCGGUGAAUCUUUAGGACUGUGGCUGAGGCCUUGCCUUGUGCGGGUCUGGCCGUGGGAAUUUAGUUAAACCUUACCAUUUAGAGGAAGGUGAAGUCGUAACA